Molecule: ribosomal RNA, 377 nt
Filed under: uncultured bacterium
Lineage: Bacteria
Description: bacterial SSU rRNA
Rfam family: Bacterial small subunit ribosomal RNA
Source: RNAcentral
AUACGUAGGGGGCGAGCGUUGUCCGGAAUUACUGGGCGUAAAGCGCGCGCAGGCGGAUGGGCAAGUCGGAAGUGAAAGCCCGGGGCUCAACCCCGGGACUGCUCCCGAUACUGCUUGUCUAGGGACCGGUAGAGGCUGGUGGAAUUGCUGGUGUAGCGGUGGAAUGCGUAGAUAUCAGCAAGAACACCCGUGGCGAAGGCGGCCAGCUGGGCCGGAUCCGACGCUGAGGCGCGAAAGCGUGGGGAGCAAACAGGAUGAGAUACCCGGGUAGUCCACGCCGUAAACGAUGGGUGCUAGAUGCCGGGGGGAGCGACCCCUUCGGUGUCGUAGCCAACGCGUUAAGCACCCCGCCUGGGGAGUACGGCCGCAAGGCUGAA